UCUCUGGGUUGGUAUGAUACCAAUUACUGGGACCUGUUCAGGGGCCUAAAAGCCUGACUCAUUAGCCCAAGGGGAAAGAUUCUUUGAGGGCAGAAGCUGCUACAGCACAUGAGACAUGAGAAAAGUUUCCAGCAGCAGGUGGGAAGUACAAAGAGAGAGCCUGGACAACCUGGGGACUCUCCUCACCAGGAAAUUCAGAACCACAGGAGACGAAAGAAGCUAAUGAAAUCAUCUUCAGAGCAACCCAAGUUCCACGUGGGCAAGGACUGUCUUGAAUUUAAUCGCUUCCCCCAGAGCGGAAGGCUGGACGCACCCUCGGGAUCGGUAAGUUUGGGCGCCGGGCGGCCUCCUCGAGGGGGGGAGAGCAGCCCAGGCCCCUCCAGGGCCUUAGCCGGGGAGGGGGGCCGGGUCCCGGGAGCGCAGCGGAUCCAUCCCUGCGCGCCCCGGGCAGCCUCGCCCCUCGGCUUUCAUCUCCGUGGGAAAGGGCGCCCGCAGGCGUGUGGGUGUGCGGGCGCGGGCCCUGGCGGCGCUCUCCGGGCGGGCGGCCGUUUCGCUGGGUUGUUUUCCUGCCCCAUCCUGGGCAGAUAAGAUCUGGACCGGCUUGCGGUUCUUCUCUCUC
RNAcentral lists this long non-coding RNA (619 nucleotides) under Dasypus novemcinctus (nine-banded armadillo). RNAcentral's name for it is "lncRNA (ENSDNOG00000052442.1)". The record is from RNAcentral. Lineage: Eukaryota; Metazoa; Chordata; Mammalia; Cingulata; Dasypodidae.